UUCCAAGAAAAGCUUCUAAGCUUCAGGUAACCAGGAACCGUACCCCAAACCGACACAGGUGGUCGGGUAGAGAAUACCAAGGCGCUUGAGAGAACUCGGGUGAAGGAACUAGGCAAAAUGGCACCGUAACUUCGGGAGAAGGUGCGCCGGCUAGGGUGAAGGAUUUACUCCGUAAGCUCUGGCUGGUCGAAGAUACCAGGCCGCUGCGACUGUUUAUUAAAAACACAGCACUCUGCAAACACGAAAGUGGACGUAUAGGGUGUGACGCCUGCCCGGUGCCGGAAGGUUAAUUGAUGGGGUUAGCGCAAGCGAAGCUCUUGAUCGAAGCCCCGGUAAACGGCGGCCGUAACAAUAACGGUCCUAAGGUAGCGAAAUUCCUUGUCGGGUAAGUUCCGACCUGCACGAAUGGCGUAACGAUGGCGGCGCUGUCUCCACCCGAGACUCAGUGAAAUUGAAAUCGCUGUGAAGAUGCAGUGUAUCCGCGGCUAGACGGAAAGACCCCGUGAACCUUUACUGUAGCUUUGCACUGGACUUUGAGCCUGCUUGUGUAGGAUAGGUGGGAGGCUUUGAAGCGUGGACGCCAGUUCGCGUGGAGCCAUCCUUGAAAUACCACCCUGGCAUGCUUGAGGUUCUAACUCUGGUCCGUAAUCCGGAUCGAGGACAGUGUAUGGUGGGCAGUUUGACUGGGGCGGUCUCCUCCUAAAGAGUAACGGAGGAGUACGAAGGUGCGCUCAGACCGGUCGGAAAUCGGUCGCAGAGUAUAAAGGCAAAAGCGCGCUUGACUGCGAGACAGACACGUCGAGCAGGUACGAAAGUAGGUCUUAGUGAUCCGGUGGUUCUGUAUGGAAGGGCCAUCGCUCAACGGAUAAAAGGUACUCCGGGGAUAACAGGCUGAUACCGCCCAAGAGUUCAUAUCGACGGCGGUGUUUGGCACCUCGAUGUCGGCUCAUCACAUCCUGGGGCUGAAGCCGGUCCUAAGGGUAUGGCUGUUCGCCAUUUAAAGUGGUACGCGAGCUGGGUUUAGAACGUCGUGAGACAGUUCGGUCCCUAUCUGCCGUGGACGUUUGAGAUUUGAGAGGGGCUGCUCCUAGUACGAGAGGACCGGAGUGGACGAACCUCUGGUGUUCCGGUUGUCACGCCAGUGGCAUUGCCGGGUAGCUAUGUUCGGAAAAGAUAACCGCUGAAAGCAUCUAAGCGGGAAACUUGCCUCAAGAUGAGAUCUCACUGGGAACUUGAUUCCCCUGAAGGGCCGUCGAAGACUACGACGUUGAUAGGCUGGGUGUGUAAGCGUUGUGAGGCGUUGAGCUAACCAGUACUAAUUGCCC
RNAcentral lists this ribosomal RNA (1325 nucleotides) under metagenome. RNAcentral describes it as "bacterial LSU rRNA". It matches the Rfam family "Bacterial large subunit ribosomal RNA", at positions 1606 to 2910 of the family's 2925-position model. The record is from RNAcentral.